Zingiber officinale is the source of this 1160-nucleotide long non-coding RNA. RefSeq lists it as uncharacterized. Lineage: Eukaryota; Viridiplantae; Streptophyta; Magnoliopsida; Zingiberales; Zingiberaceae. The record is from RefSeq and is a predicted model, not a curated record. The transcript is spliced from 6 exons.
AAAUUGAUCGCAGAUCUACAAUGAAUAUAGCAUCAAAUUUAUUUUUAUCGUAAAUGAAGCCUAAGUAUUUAACCCACCCGAUCCCUUUUACCCUUUGCCCUAAUUUUACAUGGCGGCAACGAUGCUAGGAGGAGAUUUUAUUGCGGCGAUUUCCAUCCAGGUAAGGUCAUCACCCCUCUCUUCCAACUCCGACGAGUCUGUCGACACUCGGCUAGUGGCGGCUGGUGCAACACAACCGAUGACUUCUUGACCUUCAACAAUGUGAAGCUACCGGACACGUCAUGGUCGAUGGUGGACUGGAGCAUGCGGAGACUGGACAACUGCAUGCAGGGCCACAUGCCUGAGGAAUUGCUCUUGCACAACCUUCACCAGGGCCAACAUCAGUGGUAGCGGCUGCAUCUUUUGGACCAACAACCUCACCAACAUCAAACACUACAACAAUGGCUUCAGCCAAGAUCUCUACGUUCGAUUGGCAUGAGCGGAUUUAGGUGAAUCGAUGUCUAGUGGCUAUAGCAACAAGAGGCAUGUAGCAGUGAUCAUAGUGGCACUACUGUUAGCAAUGUUUCUCUUGGCUGCCAUUGUGAUCUUCCUUUGGAGAAGAAGAAAAUAAUGCUGACGAAGAAGAAGCAAUGGAAGAGGAAAACUUAGACAUGCCUCUUUUUGAUUUGGGUAGGAUUGCUAAGGCCAACGGAGACUUUUGCUUCGACAACAAGCUCGGAGAGGGUGGAUUUGGUCAUGCUUAUAAGGAAAAGUUGGAGGGUCAGGAAAUAGCUGUGAAGAGGUAUCGAAGAUGUUGACACAGGGCUCAGAUGAGUUCUAGAAUAAGGUGAUGGUGAUCGCCCAGCUGUAACAUCGGAACCUCGUUCACCUUCUUGGCUGUUGCAUUCAGGGGGAGAAAGAAUGUUGAUCUAUGAGUAUAUGCUCAAUGGAAGCUUGGACACAUUUUUAUUUGGAUUGGUGGACACAAUAAAAAUCAAUGGAAAAUAAGGAUAUUUGAAGAAGAUUGAGAAGAUUUAGUGAUGUUUGGAAAUUUGUUGAUGUAUGGAUGGUUUAGAACUUCUUAUGAUAUUUGGAUUGUAUGGAUAUUAGAUCUUUUGUGAUGUUUGCAUUUUUAUGUAUGAUAUGUUUGGAGUGUUAAGGAUACUAGAUGAUGUUUGCAU